Long non-coding RNA from Armigeres subalbatus, 829 nucleotides. RefSeq lists it as uncharacterized. The transcript has 3 exons. NCBI's taxonomy places the organism in Eukaryota, Metazoa, Arthropoda, Insecta, Diptera, Culicidae. The record is from RefSeq and is a predicted model, not a curated record.
UCUAUAGAUUCUACUAUCUAUAUUGUUUAUAACCGCUGAACAGGCCUGCAAGUCCAAAGCUGUCACUUUCAUAGAAGAAUUGUCAAUAAUUGACGAUAAAUCAGCUGUUUUUAAAUGUCUCGUGAAAAGGCCCAUAAAAUGGCUUAUAUUUUUCACCCUUGCGGAACACCUGGGUUGCUUCAGAUUAGCGUGAACCUUCCCACACAUACACAAAUUUAUCGAUUUGUAUACCUUUAUUUAUAGAAACAUUGAUCAUUGCCUUGCCGACGUCUUCCUUCGCAUUCUGGCUCAGUGCUCACUCUACCGCGGCUCGCAAGUUCUUUCCCAUCGGUUCUGUUCUGUUUGGUGUUCGUUCGGCUAGUUCGCUGCGCGAGGAAAGAAGUUUAGAUUGUAAUCCAUAACUAGCAUUAGUAGCUGUGUUUCACCAUUGGAAGCUCCUUUGUCUAAAAUAUUGCGGUGGCGUUGCAAUUCUUCACAUGAGUUUAAUAGAACGUGAAACGUAAUGAAUUUGUUAAAAUAAAAUAGAAAUAUUUACAGCAGCGAAAUGAUUCAUGCUGUAACUGUUGUCUGAUAUUUUGGUUGCGUCUUCAAUCUUAAGAAAUGAAGUAAAACGAGAAAAUUGAUUCCGGAUAACGCAUAGGGAAGGAGAAAAUCUGGGACAAAGUGAAUGAAGAAUUUUCAGCAGAUAGCGCAAUCAGCGUAAACAAAUUUAUUAUUAUAAAACUGGACUCUGAUGUGUUCGCUUUCUUUGACCACUAGUAUUUAACAUCUUUUAGAAAGCAGUUCACAUACUUCAUAGUUUGUUUUAUGUAUUUUGUAAAAUAGUGCA